GUGGCGAUGCCGGGGUGGGCAAGGCUGUGUCACUGGCCUCUUUGUUAAGCAUGAUUGAUCACAGACAGAAUCGGUGACUUCCCUUUGUGAAAGCCGGCUUUCUUCUGCAGCUUCAUUUCACACUUCCCUUGCCCCUCUCUCACCAAGCCCCUUGCUUCUGGCCUCCGGUGAAAUGCUGGGAGAAGGAGACCAUGCCUCCGGGCUGCCCACUGGAUCAGCACAUGGCUCACCCAUCUCUGGAUCCCAGAAGAUGCCCAUCUAAAUUCUCAUGUUCUCUACUGACAGGCUUAAGCCGGAAACAUGGGGCCAUGGCGACUCUGCUCCUGGUUUUCAAACACAAAUUAGGUUCUUGGGUGCAGGCAAAGCGCACCAGAAAGGGCAGAGGGCAACGGACUUGGCAGAGAUAAAUGAGAUCGCUACUUGACCUCCAACCCAAGGAUGCCUAGCGCUGAACUUCCUGUCUGACACAGCCUUUUCACGGGAAUUGUUGCCAAAACAGCUGAUUCGAUUCAUCCAGGCUACACUUUCCCCCAGCGUCUGCCUUCUGAACACCAACAGCUUUGACAAAUGAAACUGAGAAAAGAGAAUGACUUGGAAAAACCCACAGCCCACAAGUAGAGGGGCUGGCUAGGAUCUAGGCGAAUGCUGCCUUUAUAGAACCUUAGCAUCCCGUUUCUACACCACCAGUGUAAAGACCCUCUAUUAAAAGUUCCUUGGCUUCACGCUGAGUUUUCUUAAGUAAGCAAUGACAGAGUUCAGAAGCCACCCAUAAGGAAGAAACUGUCCUCUCCACCCAAAUCCAAACCCAAAUCAUAUCAACAGCAGAAUAAAGUAACAAGACGAAUGACUGCCACCAAAAGCUCCCUUAAAGGCAGAAGCUGACUGUAUUAUUCAGGACCCUUGGCCCUCCUGUCAUGGCUAAGGGUUCAAACAAAGUAGCAUUUGGCGUGACAAUUCACACAGACUCCACAGGCAAAGGGAGUACUGAACAGGGGUCUUGGAGAAGAGAGCCCCAAGAAGAGAUGGGGCAGAGCAAGAGAAUUGGGGCCACCUGGAAAAGCGUCUUAAGUGAACAAAAGGAGACUGACCUGGGCCAAGGAAGAAAGAGGCAGGCCAACAGCAGGAAAUGAAAAGCAGCCUGGGAAGACAGCAGAGGAGAGAGCAGUAAUCAGAACCACACAGAAUAUUUCCAUAGGAAAAAUGCUUGGCAUUCUGCUAAGCCCGAUGGCUUGCAAAACAACUGGGGAUGUACACUGAUCCCCAAAGACAAGUGGAUCCCAUGGCCUGGCCUGAUGCCUUCAGAAGCAACCACUGGUGAGCUAAGGAAGAGCUGGCAG
This 1337-nucleotide long non-coding RNA is filed under the name Mus musculus (house mouse). Its description in RNAcentral is "long non-coding RNA chr11:19531354-19532691". The record is from RNAcentral. Lineage: Eukaryota; Metazoa; Chordata; Mammalia; Rodentia; Muridae.